CCUACGGGAGACAGCAGUGAGGAAUAUUGGUCAAUGGCCGGAAGGCUGAACCAGCCAAGCCGCGUGAAGGACGAAGGUGCCAAGCAUUGUACACUUCUUUUGUCAAGGGACAAAAUCAGGCUCGAGAGCCUGACCGAGGGUACUUGAAGAAAAAGCAUCGGCUAACACCGUGCCAGCAGCCGCGGUAAUACGGAGGAUGCGAGCGUUAUCCGGAUUUAUUGGGUUUAAAGGGUGCGUAGGCGGGCUGUUAAGUCAGCGGUAAAAGCCCGGGGCUCAACCCCGGCGAGCCGUUGAAACUGGCUGUCUUGAGAUGGCGAGAGGUAGGCAGAAGGCGCAGUGUAGCGGUGAAAUGCUUAGAUAUUGCGCAGAACUCCGAUUGCGAAGGCAGCAUACCGGCGGCGAUCUGACGCUGAGGCACGAAAGCGUGGGUAUCGAACGGGAUUAGAUACCCCAGUAGUC
This 459-nucleotide ribosomal RNA is filed under the name uncultured bacterium. Its description in RNAcentral is "partial 16S ribosomal RNA". It matches the Rfam family "Bacterial small subunit ribosomal RNA", at positions 338 to 795 of the family's 1533-position model. The record is from RNAcentral.